ACUCUACGGGAGGCAGCAGUCGGGAAUUUUGGGCAAUGGGCGAAAGCCUGACCCAGCAACGCCGCGUGAAGGAUGAAAUCCCUCGGGAUGUAAACUUCGCAAGAUUGGGAAGAAUUAGUAGGGGUUAAUACCCCCUAUGAUGACGGUACCUUUUGUAAGCUCCGGCUAACUCCGUGCCAGCAGCCGCGGUAAUAC
Molecule: ribosomal RNA, 195 nt
Filed under: uncultured bacterium
Lineage: Bacteria
Description: partial 16S ribosomal RNA
Rfam family: Bacterial small subunit ribosomal RNA
Source: RNAcentral